UCCUCUCUCUCUCUCUCUCUCUCUCUGGACAUGAAUCAUCCCAUGGCCAAGGAAUUCAAUGUCCCUCCGGUGGUGUUCCCCUCCGGAGGAACACCUGCAUCGUUUGCAACAGCGGCGGCUUUCGACGGUACCGUUCUAGUUGCCAUAGUCCACAAACCCUAGCAUCCCAUUCAUGUCCUUCGACAUCGUUCUUGGCUCCGCAAUUCGGUGGUAAUAUUUCGGGAAUCGAAACCGGGUUGGAUGACAAACCACCUCUACUCAAAAAGUUUGGAAUCAAUACGAGACAAAUUUGGAGCAAAACUGUAUCGAUUGUGAACCCGUUUAGGGUGAACACGAAUCUACAAGAAUAUUCUAAUUUGUCAGAUUACAUAUGGUACAGUACUUAAGUUGAUGCAUAAGAAGACAAAGGUCCAGCUGCAUUCACAUGAGGUUCCAUAUGGAUCUGGAAGCGGGCAGCAGUCAGUUACAGGUUUUUCUGUUGUUGAUGAUUCAAAUAGUUACUGGGUACUCUCUAUAUCUCUUUCUCAUUUUCAAGGCAAGGUCACGAUUGUCACGACCUCCACUCAGGGAAUCGGCUCUAGCAUCGCCAAGCAUCUCGGCUUCGCAAACAGGUUUUGAUUGUUCUGCAGAAAGAUGUAGAUAAGGCAGUGGAGAAGCUUAAACCAAGAGGAAUUGAAGUGUUUGGAGUGGCUUGUCAUGUGUCUGUAGCUCAACAAAGGAAGAAUCUGGUAGAAAGAUUGUUCAGGUUAGAAAUUAUUUGGAGAGAUGCAAAAUAUGGUCAAAGAACUCAAAGACUUUGUGCUUCAAGUUUUUUUUCAUUUUUUUAAUAUAUGUAAUCACAGUUAAUUUUUUUAUUAUUAAUUUCUUUAUAUAUAUUUUUGAACAUUCAACUUUUAUUUUUGAAAUAUGUGACGU
This is a non-coding RNA of Camellia sinensis, 915 nucleotides long. Lineage: Eukaryota; Viridiplantae; Streptophyta; Magnoliopsida; Ericales; Theaceae. The record is from RefSeq and is a predicted model, not a curated record.